GACGAACGCUGGCGGCGUGCCUAAUACAUGCAAGUCGACCUUAGUGGCGAACGGGUGAGUAACACGUGGGUAACCUGCCCAUCAGAAGGGGAUAACAAUUGGAAACAGGUGCUAAUACCGUAUACUGAUGGAUGGACCCGCGGUGCAUUAGCUAGUUGGUGCGGUAACGGUUCACGAAGGCAACGCUGCAUAGCCGAGCUGGGAGGGUGAUCGGCAACAUUGGGAUUGAGACACGGCCCAAACUCCGACGGUAGGCAGCAGUAGGGAAUCGUCGGCAAUGUACGAAAGUCUGACCGAGCAACGCCGCGUGAGUGAAGAAGUUUUUCGGAUCGUAAACCUCUGUUGUUAGAGAAGCUGUAUCUAACCAGAAAGCCACGGCUAACUACGUGCCAGCCGCCGCGGUAAUAC
Molecule: ribosomal RNA, 408 nt
Filed under: uncultured bacterium
Lineage: Bacteria
Description: partial 16S ribosomal RNA
Rfam family: Bacterial small subunit ribosomal RNA
Source: RNAcentral